Xylaria nigripes is the source of this 92-nucleotide non-coding RNA. NCBI's taxonomy places the organism in Eukaryota, Fungi, Ascomycota, Sordariomycetes, Xylariales, Xylariaceae. The record is from the annotation of a GenBank genome assembly.
GGCUGGUUGGCCUAAUGGUAAGGCGUUGCUUUCCGGCGUUCGUUAUGAGCGGGAUUUGGCAAAGAUUGCGGGUUCGAGUCCCGUGCUGGUCG